This 464-nucleotide ribosomal RNA is filed under the name uncultured bacterium. RNAcentral describes it as "partial 16S ribosomal RNA". It matches the Rfam family "Bacterial small subunit ribosomal RNA", at positions 339 to 795 of the family's 1533-position model. The record is from RNAcentral.
CUACGGGAGGCUGCAGUGGGGAAUAUUGCGCAAUGGGCGCAAGCCUGAUGCAGCCAUGCCGCGUGUAUGAAGAAGGCCUUCGGGUUGUAAAGUACUUUCAGCGGGGAGGAAGGGAGUAAAGUUAAUACCUUUGCUCAUUGACGUUACCCGCAGAAGAACCACCGGCUAACUCCGUGCCAGCAGCCGCGGUAAUACGGAGGGUGCAAGCGUUAAUCGGAAUUACUGGGCGUAAAGCGCACGCAGGCGGUUUGUUAAGUCAGAUGUGAAAUCCCCGGGCUCAACCUGGGAACUGCAUCUGAUACUGGCAAGCUUGAGUCUCGUAGAGGGGGGUAGAAUUCCAGGUGUAGCGGUGAAAUGCGUAGAGAUCUGGAGGAAUACCGGUGGCGAAGGCGGCCCCCUGGACGAAGACUGACGCUCAGGUGCGAAAGCGUGGGGAGCAAACAGGAUUAGAUACCCUUGUAGUC